CUACGGGACGCUCCAGUGGGGAAUAUUGCACAAUGGGGGGAACCCUGAUGCAGCAACGCCGCGUGGAGGAUGACGCAUUUCGGUGUGUAAACUCCUUUUAUAUGUCAAGAAAAUGACGGUAGCAUAUGAAUAAGCACCGGCUAACUCCGUGCCAGCAGCCGCGGUAAUACGGAGGGUGCAAGCGUUACUCGGAAUCACUGGGCGUAAAGGACGCGUAGGCGGGUUGGAAAGUCAGGUGUGAAAUCCUACAGCUUAACUGUAGAACUGCACUUGAAACUUCUAAUCUAGAGUAUGGGAGGGGGAGAUGGGAUUAGUGGUGUAGGGGUAAAAUCCGUAGAUAUCACUAGGAAUACCUAAAGCGAAGGCGAUCUCCUGGAACAUUACUGACGCUAAGGCGUGAAAGCGUGGGGAGCAAACAGGAUUAGAUACCCGCGUAGUC
RNAcentral lists this ribosomal RNA (439 nucleotides) under uncultured bacterium. RNAcentral's name for it is "partial 16S ribosomal RNA". It matches the Rfam family "Bacterial small subunit ribosomal RNA", at positions 339 to 795 of the family's 1533-position model. The record is from RNAcentral.